GUCAGGACUCAGGGCAGAAGGAACAACAUUCCCAUCACUGUUCACAAAAAGCCAAAGCACGCGCUGCCAAAACGCCGCCGUGCAGGCUGCAGCAGCGCCUACUGCUGCGCUGCUUUUUUUUUAUUGGUCUUCACUUCACCGGCGGGAGAACUACCUUUACAAUGCCAUACGACUCUCUGCUCUCUAUUCUACAUGCCAUACACGAAACAGCAAGAGCUAAGAACAAAAUCUACAAAAAAGAAAAAAAAACUGUACACACGAGCAACGCCUACUAGCGGCGUCGACCAUAUGGCCGGGCCACCUUGG
RNAcentral lists this unclassified non-coding RNA (306 nucleotides) under Zea mays. RNAcentral describes it as "misc RNA Zm00001eb014310". Lineage: Eukaryota; Viridiplantae; Streptophyta; Magnoliopsida; Poales; Poaceae. The record is from RNAcentral.